UGUGCACCAGUGGGGUCCCUUGGCCUGGCCUGUGGGGUUGGGCCGAAACUGGCUCUCCGACAUCCCCCGAGUGGUCGGGGAUUGUGAGAGGGUGCAGGCCAGGCCAAGGGACCCCACUGGUGCAGG
Molecule: microRNA precursor, 126 nt
Filed under: Myotis brandtii (Brandt's bat)
Lineage: Eukaryota; Metazoa; Chordata; Mammalia; Chiroptera; Vespertilionidae
Description: mir-9193 microRNA precursor family
Source: Rfam by way of RNAcentral